AUUGAACGCUGGCGGCAUGCCUUACACAUGCAAGUCGAACGGCAGCACGGGGGCAACCCUGGUGGCGAGUGGCGAACGGGUGAGUAAUACAUCGGAACGUGUCCUGUAGUGGGGGAUAGCCCGGCGAAAGCCGGAUUAAUACCGCAUACGCUCUACGGAGGAAAGGGGGGGAUCUUAGGACCUCCCGCUACAGGGGCGGCCGAUGGCAGAUUAGCUAGUUGGUGGGGUAAAGGCCUACCAAGGCGACGAUCUGUAGCUGGUCUGAGAGGACGACCAGCCACACUGGGACUGAGACACGGCCCAGACUCCUACGGGAGGCAGCAGUGGGGAAUUUUGGACAAUGGGCGAAAGCCUGAUCCAGCAAUGCCGCGUGUGUGAAGAAGGCCUUCGGGUUGUAAAGCACUUUUGUCCGGAAAGAAAACGCCGUGGUUAAUACCCGUGGCGGAUGACGGUACCGGAAG
Molecule: ribosomal RNA, 461 nt
Filed under: Burkholderia sp. oral taxon C87
Lineage: Bacteria; Pseudomonadati; Pseudomonadota; Betaproteobacteria; Burkholderiales; Burkholderiaceae
Description: bacterial SSU rRNA
Rfam family: Bacterial small subunit ribosomal RNA
Source: RNAcentral